Molecule: long non-coding RNA, 4013 nt
Organism: Mercenaria mercenaria
Lineage: Eukaryota; Metazoa; Mollusca; Bivalvia; Venerida; Veneridae
Exons: 10
Source: RefSeq, a predicted model, not a curated record
UUUUUUAUUAACCCUUACCCUGCUAAAUUUCUAUAAUGAACUUGUCCAUCGUCCAAUUUGGACAAUACUAUUAACUGUUAAAAGGGGGUGCUUACCAAAAAGAUACUGACUGAAUGUCGAACAGUGAUGGUCUUGAUCAGACUGCAUAGAUGUGCAGGCUGUUCAUGAUCUACACUGGUUGAAAAGGCAGAAUCAAUUCUGUACAGCAUGAUAAGGGUUAACAGAAGGCUAUUUGAUGAGUAAUAAAAUAUAUCUCAUCUCAUUUGUGCUUUCAUUUAAGGGAGACUUUUCGGAAAUUAUUUUUUUAUCAAAAAAUGAUUACAAAUAAGGGGGUUAUGCCUUUAGAGCAUCAGUAAGUUGAUUUCUAACAUCACUGGCCAUGUUUAAAGCAUAAAAAGUGCAGUUUUGCAUCUUUUUGUUAAAAAGUUGAAAAAAAUAUUCUCCAAGGCCAUAAAAACAUUUAGGGUCGGGCCAAAAAUUUAGGGUAGGUCGGGAUACCGGAAACAAACAAUUUUUUUUUUACGCCUAAGAAGUUUGAAUCCAAGUACCAAACAACAUUAGACAUAGAACACUUUAUUUAGAUGUAGUUGGUUUUCAGACACCUUUCCACACACUACAGCCUUUGUGUUAAUUACCUGAUGCAGAAAGUCUACUAGUAUUUUAAAGCUACAUGAGUCAUUUUACCAUUGUUAUAUAACCCAAGAUUUGUUGAUGGUACCUUUAAACUAUAUGUAUAUAAUGUCAGACAUAGUGCUGUAGUAUUAUCAAUCUUUGACACACUUGCUUUCUGAUCAAAUGUCUGGCAGUUUAUUAAACUGAAAUAGAUUAUUUUCGCUAUCUUGUGCAAUAACUUUUUGAGUCUACAUCUAUAGACCUUCUAUGCAUUUGCUAAACAUUCGUUUUUAAAAGUGCCUCUUCUUUUUAUAGUGAAAUGUGUGUGCGGUAGUAACAGUACAGACCAGGAAGUUCAGAAGUGAAGCAGUGCAGGUCUAAAUUGUUCAACAAAGUGUAGAGGGAAACAUAGUGGAAACAUUUCACAAGUUAACAUGACAUCUGCGAAGUUCAUGUACUAGUAACAGGACAGGCCAUGGUGUUCAGAUAUGAAGAGAUCUAUACAGGUCUACAUUGUUCAACACAGUGUAUCAGGGAAACAGAGUGGAUGGCAAGGAUAGAAAACAUUUCACAAUUUUACAAUGAUCAAGUUGCCUGUGAUGAUUGUUCUUGUUGCGGCUCUAGUACCAGCUGAUACGGAAUUCUGUUACAUAGAUGAAAACUGUGAAGUAUCAGUGCAGACCAUGAAGUUCAGAAAUGAAGAGAUGCUGGGUCUAAUUUGUUCAACAAUGUGAUCGAGGGAAACAUGGAUGGCAAGCAUAAAAACAUUUCACAAUUCUUCCCUGAUCAAGUUGCCUGUGAUGGCUGUUCUUGUUGUGGCUCUAGUACCAGCUUAAGCUGAACUCUGUUUUAUAGUUGAAAUCUGUGAAGUAAGAGUACAGAUCAUGAAGUUCAGAUAUGAAGAAAUGCAGGUCUGGAUUGUUCAACACAGUGUAUGAGGGAAACAUAGUGGAUGACAAGCAUAGAAAACAUUUCAUAAUAUCAACUACAUUGGAGCAAAUAAAAGGAGGUUUAGGGACAGCCUGAUAAUUUUUUGAUAACUUGUGGUUGACAACUGUAAAAUAUCAGUUUGAUAUUACCGUGGACAGACCAUCAGGGGAGGUAACUAGAGUCACGGAUUGGGACUAAUGCAGGGGCUGAGCCUAUUAUACCCAAGGUCAAGGUCACCAAGAGAAAUAUAUGAGGAGGGCUUGCUGCUGGAUGCCAUCGCCAAACCAAGAAGUUCAGACUGUUUUGCACAUACUUGCGUUUCUCAAGUAUGGCCUUGAAGGGAUUGUCAUACGAAAAGGGUAGGAAAGAUACAGAAGUAAGGAUAUGAGAAGCCACGGGAAAACAAAGUAAAAAAGCUACAUGUAUACAAAAGAUUCCAGACAUACAGAGCUGUAGAUCUUUGUAGGAUCUUGUUGUGAGGUGUAGGGAGCUGCCAAGCAGAUGGAAUGUAUAAUGUAAGAGACUAAGUAUUGAUGAUUUAAGUUUGCAUUCUUAAACUAGGUUCUAUCAUUAGGUAAAAUGAGAUUAAACAUAGAUGCCACAUAAUGUUUGUUUGACCUGUAGUGCGUUUUCAGGUAUACAGUUCAAGGAUGUGACAUUGUGCAAACCAGAAUAUAAAUACAACAGUGAUUUAACUAGACAUAAAUUUUUUACAUGUAUAUAUAUUUUAGCUUACCUGAGCAUAAAGUGCUGGGGGUGAGCUAUUGUGAUCUCUCACUGUCCGUCAUUCUGUUUCGUCAUUCUGUUAGUUUGUCCGUCCAUCCUUAAUUUUAUGUCCGUUCCAUAACUCUGUCAUUCAUCAAGGGAUUUAAUAUUACUAGAUCAUACACAACACCCAGAUCCCUAGCUCAAAGGUCAAGGUCACAAUUGGAGGUCAAAGGUCAACAAGGCUUUUUUCCUGUCCAGUACAUAACUAUACAUGCCAUCCAUGAAGGGAUUUUUAUAUUACCUGGCACAAAUGUACCCCAUAAUAAGACGAUGUGUCAUGCACAACAUUCAGACCCCUGGCUCAAAGGUCAAGGUCACCCUUGGCAGUCAAAUGUUAACAAUGGCAUGGACAGGGUCUGUUUCGUGUCCGGUCCAGAAAUCUGUUAUCCCUAGAAGGAUUACAAUUUUACUUGGCAUAAAUGUUCUCCAUAAUCAGACGACAUGUCAUGCGCAACACCCAAAACACUAGCUUAAGGGUCAAGGUCACACUUAGAGAUAAAAGUCAAUAGGGUUUUUUUCCUUUCCGGUCCAUAACUUUGUUAAUCAAAACAGGAUUUAAAUCUCAUUUGGGACAAAAUUCACCUGGAUGAGACAACAUGUCGUGCACAAAACCCCAACCCUUAGCUGAAAGGUCAAGGUCACUGUUGGAAGUCAAAGGCCAACAGGGCUUUUUUCCUGUCCAGUCUGUAACUCACUAAUCCUUAAAGGGAUUUUAAUAUUACAGAUUUACCCCAUGACAAGACGAUGUGUCAUGUGCAACACCCAGACCCCUAACUCAAAGGUCAAGGUCACACUUGGAAGUCAAAGGUCGAUAGGUUUUAUUUAGCUCACCUGAGCAGGGUGAGCUAUUGUGAUCGCUCAGUGUCCAGCGUCCGCCCAGCCAGCUGGCCAUCAUCUGUCCACACUUUCCUUUAAACAGCAUUUCCUCCUAAACCACCAGGCCAUUUUUAGCUCAACUUUUCGAAGAAAAAGUAGAGCUAUUGCACUCACUCCGGUGUUGGUGUCGCCUUUGGUUAAAGUUUUUGAUCAAGUCAAAUAUCUCUGUUACUAUCAAAUCUAUUAACUUGAAACUUUAAAUACUUUUUUUACUAUCAAAGUCUACACCAGGAGAAACAAUCCCAUAACUCUGAUUUGAAUUUUAUAAUAUAUAUGCUGUUCACGAAGUACGUUUAUCAUACAUAUACUGUAACGAGCCAGACGUUUCAGAAAAGUGUAGCACAGAUAUCCGGCCACUAGAAAUAAGUCAGAAAGAAAAUAAUCUUUUGAAUAAUAUUAUUUGGUAAAUGUAUUUCUGAAGUAAUGAAAGUCUUUAAGUGUAUUAUACCAAGAUAAUGAAUAAAAUGAAAUUCACCAGUUCGUGUUUGAACUUUGAAGUCCACCCUUUGCACUGGUAUAAAGUUAAGCGUCAGUUAAUAUCAGGGACCACUGUGGAAUUAAGAGGAUGAAUACUUUCCUUUUUGUUGCAUGGCUUACUUUGUAUGUCAUUGUGUUUGUUAUUUGUUAUAGCAUGUGCAUCUUAUUGAUAAUGCUUCGUUUUAUGUACACUUUUAUAAAAAUAAAUCUAAUCUAGUCCAUGAAUAUUGUCGAAAUUUUAAUCGAAUCAAAUAUUCUGAAUUAAGAUAACUUUUAACACCAGCGGAGCUUAAAACUUUAGUUUUAUUUCCCUGAAAUAAAUAAAUAGUAAGAAGCACAAUUUAACAGUU